This 74-nucleotide small RNA is filed under the name Novosphingobium mathurense. RNAcentral describes it as "suhB". RNAcentral also lists the same sequence under 1 other name. The record is from RNAcentral. Lineage: Bacteria; Pseudomonadati; Pseudomonadota; Alphaproteobacteria; Sphingomonadales; Sphingomonadaceae.
AGGACGGGCCUUUCAGGCAUCCUCUCCCAAACUUUUCAACCCGGUCGAUCUGGCCGGGUUUUUCUUUGCCCUAA